GCCAGGCGUGGUGGCUCACGUCUGUAAUCCCAGCACUGUGGGAGGCUGAGGCAGGUGGGUCGCCUGAGGUCAGGAGUUCGACAACAGCCUGGCCAAAAUGGUGAAACCCUGUCUCUU
Molecule: unclassified non-coding RNA, 117 nt
Organism: Papio anubis (olive baboon)
Lineage: Eukaryota; Metazoa; Chordata; Mammalia; Primates; Cercopithecidae
Rfam family: Metazoan signal recognition particle RNA
About the family: The signal recognition particle (SRP) is a universally conserved ribonucleoprotein.
Source: Ensembl